RNAcentral lists this long non-coding RNA (1009 nucleotides) under Monodelphis domestica (gray short-tailed opossum). RNAcentral's name for it is "lncRNA (ENSMODG00000044315.1)". The record is from RNAcentral. Lineage: Eukaryota; Metazoa; Chordata; Mammalia; Didelphimorphia; Didelphidae.
GCUGCAAAUGGGUAAGUGAAAUAUUGCUGCAUUCUGUCCUAUAGACUUGUGGGAUAGAAAUUACUUUAAAUUGGACCUGUACAAGGGCCCAUUAUGAAUUUAUUCCUGAUUACUCAACAUUUUAUAUAAGUAGAUUUUGGUAUUUUGAUUCUGAUUUUGAAUUUUAUUUUUUCUUUCUCUCAAAAGUUUAACUUUCUUCCAUAUUUUUCCCUUUAUACAGUUUUUGUUUUGUUUUUUGUUUGUUUUGUUUUUAUUGUUUUUGAAAUCUUUUAAUAACUAACUCAUACACCCCCAUAACUCAACAAUGCAUCCUGAGCUGAAUUGGAUGUUUUUUUUUAACACUCACCUCAGGAAGGGGGGGGAUUGUAAUUUAAUAAAAAUCCAAGAUUUUGAAUUUUUUUUUGUUCAAGAAAGAUCCUCAAGGAAUAAGCUUGCUAACUCCUAAAUCCAGAGAAUGAACUGUUGCAGAAAAGUGCCAGAAAACCUACAUUACAUCAAGAUCAAGAAUGAACUUUGGGUGGAAGACUACAUAAGUCAUGGAGAGGAUACAGUCGAUAUUACUGGAGGGAUGACCUACAUUGAAGAAAUUAUGGUGCUUGAAAUUCUCAACCUUGCCUGCCAGAGCUAUGGUAUCUGCCUGCCCUUUCCUGUUUUGGAUGACAUCUCUGGACCUGUCCUUUUGCCUGCUGACUAGCCUGUGGAAUCUUCUGGACCCUUCUAGCAUGAUUUGGUGCAGUGGUUCCAAAUGCAUUGGCUGAAAAAAAAAUAUGGCCCCUGGGUGGGGCACAUAGUUAAAGCAGGGGCCUAUGAAUCCAUCCAUAUGUGGACCUAACAUCAUUUUUUAUCUUUAUUUAGCUACAACAAAAUAUGCUUACUAAUAUAAACAAGCAAAUGUAUCUUAUAUAGACUAAAUUUAAAGUGUAUUGCAAACAUAUAGAAAGAGUUAUUUUUCAAAUAUAUGUAGGUAAUAUUGUGAUGAAUAAAAGAUUCAUUUAAAAGUGUUAAUACA